RNAcentral lists this ribosomal RNA (326 nucleotides) under Streptococcus agalactiae. RNAcentral's name for it is "bacterial SSU rRNA". It matches the Rfam family "Bacterial small subunit ribosomal RNA", at positions 549 to 874 of the family's 1533-position model. Lineage: Bacteria; Bacillati; Bacillota; Bacilli; Lactobacillales; Streptococcaceae. The record is from RNAcentral.
AUUUAUUGGGCGUAAAGCGAGCGCAGGCGGUUCUUUAAGUCUGAAGUUAAAGGCAGUGGCUUAACCAUUGUACGCUUUGGAAACUGGAGGACUUGAGUGCAGAAGGGGAGAGUGGAAUUCCAUGUGUAGCGGUGAAAUGCGUAGAUAUAUGGAGGAACACCGGAGGCGAAAGCGGCUCUCUGGUCUGUAACUGACGCUGAGGCUCGAAAGCGUGGGGAGCAAACAGGAUUAGAUACCCUGGUAGUCCACGCCGUAAACGAUGAGUGCUAGGUGUUAGGCCCUUUCCGGGGCUUAGUGCCGCAGAUAACGCAUUAAGCACUCCGCCU